GAGGCAUCUUCUUUCGGCCAAAGGAGGCGACUCCGGAGACGGAUGGGCAUGCGUGACAUUAGCUUGUUGGCGGGGUAACGGCCCACCAAGGCGACGAUGUCUAGGGGUUCUGAGAGGAAGGUCCCCCACACUGGUACUGAGACACGGACCAGACUCCUACGGGAGGCAGCAGUGAGGAAUAUUGGUCAAUGGGCGAGAGCCUGAACCAGCCAAGUCGCGUGAAGGAUGACGGCCCUACGGGUUGUAAACUUCUUUUGUCAGGGAGCAAUUGGGUCCACGCGUGGGCUUAGCGAGAGUACCUGAAGAAAAAGCAUCGGCUAACUCCGUGCCAGCAGCCGCGGUAAUACGGAGGAUGCGAGCGUUAUCCGGAUUUAUUGGGUUUAAAGGGUGCGUAGGCGGAAUAUCAAGUCAGCGGUAAAAAUUCGGGGCUCAACCCCGUCGUGCCGUUGAAACUGAUGUUCUUGAGUGGGCGAGAAGUAUGCGGAAUGCGUGGUGUAGCGGUGAAAUGCAUAGAUAUCACGCAGAACUCCGAUUGCGAAGGCAGCAUACCGGCGCCCAACUGACGCUGAAGCACGAAAGCGUGGGUAUCGAACAGGAUUAGAUACCCUGGUAGUCCACGCAGUAAACGAUGAAUGCUAAUUGUCCGGAGGGAUUGACCUCUGGGUGAUACAGCGAAAGC
This 679-nucleotide ribosomal RNA is filed under the name uncultured bacterium. RNAcentral describes it as "bacterial SSU rRNA". It matches the Rfam family "Bacterial small subunit ribosomal RNA", at positions 185 to 858 of the family's 1533-position model. The record is from RNAcentral.